RNAcentral lists this ribosomal RNA (363 nucleotides) under uncultured bacterium. Its description in RNAcentral is "partial 16S ribosomal RNA". It matches the Rfam family "Bacterial small subunit ribosomal RNA", at positions 357 to 714 of the family's 1533-position model. The record is from RNAcentral.
UGGGAAUUUGGACAAUGGCGCAAGCCUGAUCCAGCCAUGCCGCGUGCGGGAAGAAGGCCUUCGGGUUGUAAACCGCUUUUGUCAGGGAAGAAAUCUUCUGAGUUAAUACCUCGGGAGGAUGACGGUACCUGAAGAAUAAGCACCGGCUAACUACGUGCCAGCAGCCGCGGUAAUACGUAGGGUGCAAGCGUUAAUCGGAAUUACUGGGCGUAAAGCGUGCGCAGGCGGUUUUGUAAGACAGAGGUGAAAUCCCCGGCUCAACCUGGGAACUGCCUUUGUGACUGCAAGGCUUGAGUGCGGCAGAGGGGGAUGGAAUUCCGCGUGUAGCAGUGAAAUGCGUAGAUAUGCGGAGGAACACCGUGG